CAUGUAGGCGGUUCGUCGCGUCCGGUGUGAAAGUCCAUCGCUUAACGGUGGAUCCGCGCCGGGUACGGGCGGGCUUGAGUGCGGUAGGGGAGACUGGAAUUCCUGGUGUAGCGGUGAAAUGCGCAGAUAUCAGGAGGAACACCGAUGGCGAAGGCAGGUCUCUGGGCCACUACUGACGCUGAGAAGCGAAGGCAUGGGGGACGAACA
This 207-nucleotide ribosomal RNA is filed under the name uncultured bacterium. Its description in RNAcentral is "partial 16S ribosomal RNA". It matches the Rfam family "Bacterial small subunit ribosomal RNA", at positions 568 to 774 of the family's 1533-position model. The record is from RNAcentral.